AGGAGUUUAAGUUAAAGAAAAACUAAAAACCUUCAAAGUUUUAAAUAAGAAUGAAAAAUUUUUAAUUCCUG
This 71-nucleotide transfer RNA is filed under the name Cheiraster sp. SS-2022. RNAcentral's name for it is "tRNA-Trp". RNAcentral also lists the same sequence under 1 other name. The record is from RNAcentral. Lineage: Eukaryota; Metazoa; Echinodermata; Asteroidea; Notomyotida; Benthopectinidae.